GACGAACGCUGGCGGCGUGCUUAACACAUGCAAGUCGAACGGAAAGGCCUGCUUUCCCUUGUGGAUUGCGGGUACUCGAGUGGCGAACGGGUGAGUAACACGUGAGUGAUCUGCCCCCAACUUGGGUAUAAGCCUGGGAAACUGGGUCUAAUUCCCGAUAGGACUGCAGGGUGGUGCCUGUGGUGGAAAACGAUUUUCUAGUGGUUGGGGAUGAGCUCGCGGCCUAUCAGCUUGUUGGUGGGGUAAUGGCCUACCAAGGCGGCGACGGGUAGCCGGCCUGAGAGGGUGGACGGCCACAUUGGGACUGAGAUACGGCCCAGACUCCUACGGGAGGCAGCAGUGGGGAGUAUUACACAAUGGGCGGAAGCCUGAUGCAGCGACGCCGCGUGGGGGAUGACGGCCUUCGGGUUGUAAACUCCUUUCGACCGCGAGGAAGCCACCUGGUUGGAAGGGUGGUGACGGUAGUGGUAGAAGAAGCACCGGCUAACUACGUG
Molecule: ribosomal RNA, 494 nt
Filed under: uncultured bacterium
Lineage: Bacteria
Description: partial 16S ribosomal RNA
Rfam family: Bacterial small subunit ribosomal RNA
Source: RNAcentral